CCCUACGGGAGGCAGCAGUGGGGGAUAGUUGCACAAUGGGCGCAAGCCUGAUGCAGCAACGCCGCGUGUGGGAUGACGCUUUUCGGAGUGUAAACCACUGUUCGUGGGGACGAAGCACUGACGGUACCCACGGAGGAAGGCCCGGCUAACUACGUGCCAGCAGCCGCGGUAAUACGUAGGGUCGAGCGUUGUCCGGAGUUACUGGGCGUAAAGCGCAUGCAGGCGGCUCAUUACGCAUGGCGUGAAAGCCCCCGGCUUAACCGGGGAGGGUCGUCGUGAACGGGUGAGCUUGAGGGUAUCAGGGGCUGGUGGAAUUCCCGGUGUAGUGGUGAAAUGCGUAGAGAUCGGGAGGAACACCUGUGGCGAAGGCGGCCAGCUGGGAUACACCUGACGCUGAGAUGCGAAGGCGUGGGGAGCGAACGGGAUUAGAUACCCCGGUAGUCCACGCAGUAAACGAUGCAGACUAGGCGUGGGAGGACUUGACCCCUUCCGUGCCGGAGCUAACGCGAUAAGUCUGCCGCCUGGGGAGUACGGUCGCAAGACUAAAACUCAA
This 553-nucleotide ribosomal RNA is filed under the name uncultured bacterium. Its description in RNAcentral is "bacterial SSU rRNA". It matches the Rfam family "Bacterial small subunit ribosomal RNA", at positions 337 to 904 of the family's 1533-position model. The record is from RNAcentral.